This 546-nucleotide ribosomal RNA is filed under the name Penicillium spinulosum. Its description in RNAcentral is "eukaryotic LSU rRNA". The stretch from base 173 to 326 matches the Rfam family "5.8S ribosomal RNA". Lineage: Eukaryota; Fungi; Ascomycota; Eurotiomycetes; Eurotiales; Aspergillaceae. The record is from RNAcentral.
UGAGUGAGGGCCCUCUGGGUCCAACCUCCCACCCGUGUUUAUUGUACCUUGUUGCUUCGGUGCGCCCGCCUCACGGCCGCCGGGGGGCUUCUGCCCCCGGGUCCGCGCGCACCGGAGACACCAUUGAACUCUGUCUGAAGAUUGCAGUCUGAGCAUAAACUAAAUAAGUUAAAACUUUCAACAACGGAUCUCUUGGUUCCGGCAUCGAUGAAGAACGCAGCGAAAUGCGAUAACUAAUGUGAAUUGCAGAAUUCAGUGAAUCAUCGAGUCUUUGAACGCACAUUGCGCCCCCUGGUAUUCCGGGGGGCAUGCCUGUCCGAGCGUCAUUGCUGCCCUCAAGCACGGCUUGUGUGUUGGGCUCCGUCCCCCCGGGGACGGGCCCGAAAGGCAGCGGCGGCACCGAGUCCGGUCCUCGAGCGUAUGGGGCUUUGUCACCCGCUCUGUAGGCCCGGCCGGCGCCAGCCGACAACCCAUCAUCCUUUUCAGGUUGACCUCGGAUCAGGUAGGGAUACCCGCUGAACUUAAGCAUAUCAAUAAGCGGAGGAA